This 448-nucleotide ribosomal RNA is filed under the name uncultured bacterium. Its description in RNAcentral is "bacterial SSU rRNA". It matches the Rfam family "Bacterial small subunit ribosomal RNA", at positions 355 to 825 of the family's 1533-position model. The record is from RNAcentral.
UGGGGAAUCUUGCACAAUGGGCGAAAGCCUGAUGCAGCAACGCCGCGUGCGGGAAGAAGGCCCUCGGGUUGUAAACCGCUUUCAGAAGGAACGAAACUGACGGUACUUUCAGAAGAAGGUGCGGCCAACUACGUGCCAGCAGCCGCGGUGACACGUAGGCACCAAGCGUUGUCCGGAUUUAUUGGGCGUAAAGAGCUCGUAGGCGGUUCAGUAAGUCGGGUGUGAAAACUUUGGGCUUAACCCAAAGCGUGCAUCCGAUACUGCUGUGACUUGAGUACGGUAGGGGAGCGUGGAAUUCCUAGUGUAGCGGUGAAAUGCGCAGAUAUUAGGAGGAACACCGGUGGCGAAGGCGCCGCUCUGGGCCGAAACUGACGCUGAGGAGCGAAAGCAUGGGUAGCAAACAGGAUUAGAUACCCACGUAGUCCCUGAGCGGGCUGGCAAGGCGCAU